Long non-coding RNA from Numida meleagris (helmeted guineafowl), 1613 nucleotides. RefSeq lists it as uncharacterized. Lineage: Eukaryota; Metazoa; Chordata; Aves; Galliformes; Numididae. The transcript has 3 exons. The record is from RefSeq and is a predicted model, not a curated record.
UCUCCCUUCAGGAAGCGCUUCUUUGCUGCUUUAUAGCCACUCUGUGACAUACUCACUAAUCCUGCUGUGAAGAGACUAGAUAUGCUCAAUUUGCCAAAGAAUGGCAGCGUUGCUUGGAAAUAAUUCACAGAACUUACAACACAGCUCAAAUACUUGUCACGCAGAAGCCAGGAGUUAUACGUCCAUUUGAGCAGCAACACAAUGGAUUGCAUUUCUUGGCUAAAAUAGCCCUGGGCAGGGCCCUGCGUCCCUUCUAUGUAUGCAAUGCUAUGGAAGGUUUGUGGAGCUGACAGAAAAACUUACGUUUCAAGGGAAUCGAUGACACUUUUCACAGAAGAAGAAAUGGAGGGAUUGGUCAUGCGAGGACAGCAUCAACAAUGUAAAGAUAACCCAAGCACGUGGUGACCUUGCUCAGUGCUCUGUCUGCCUAGUACAUUCCAUGCCCCAGGAAAAAGCAAAGAUGGGGGCUGAAUUGGUCAAAGGGGUCAUCGUCAUUCUCUGCAUCCUGACACACAGAGCAGAAAAGCUACACUGCCUGUUACUUCUUGCCAGGACCUUUCAACUGUACUAAACUGUGUGUGCACAGAUUCAAUUCAGAAGAGAAGUAUCACUUCUUUAAUUUCAGUUUAUUGACAUCCAAUUCUCCCUCUCUCUCUGCCCCUAUAUUUACUUAUGUCUUAAAUUGCAGUAGCCAUGCCAGCUGCUGCUAAUAGAGAGAUACUUCAUUAUUUUUCUGUUAUUAAGGAGGUAAGUAGGCUGAUGUGAAAAGUCAGAGUGCCAGCCUCAGCAUGUUGGGUUUUUUUUGAGAUGCACCCAACUUUGCAUAUUUUGGGUGACAUACAAUUGCAAAAGCCUCUCCUAGAUUCUGACCAUUCUAAGCAACCUCUAUGCAAGCACCUCAUUCACAUUUGUGAAGAAGAAAACACCUACUCCAUACAUGUGGUCGGCAUCAUUCAAGACAUCCAAAUAUAUCAGUGCUCAGGGCAUGCCCUAAAAUAUAGACCGAGCAAAGACCACCGUGGCUCUGGAGAGUGCACUUCAGCCAGCAGUCUGGGUAUUCAUACAGCCUUCUAAAUGUGGGGGCUGCUUAAGCCAAAAUAUCUGCAAAUGAGCUCUGAUCACCCCGUCUUGAGGUGUUUACUAAAUUUACAAAAAGUAACUCAGUAAAAUCACUGCUACAUCAAUGGAAAGUAGAACUGAACAGGAGGAAGAUAUGAAGACUUCCCUCUAGAAAAUACAAAACUACAAGGCUGGUGUGACUUAUUCUUUUGUUUGAUUAACUUUCAGAUCAUGUUUUACUACUGAAAGGGAAGAAAAGCACAAAUAAUCCAAAAUGAAUGCAUAGGCCUGGAAAGGUCCCUGGGAGGAUGCCCUUUUUUUAGGUUCAAAUAUAUGAUUUGACCUGUGGUGAUCGUGGGAAAGCCAAAUUGUGGCAAAAAAUAUCAAUGAAAGCAAAUGCAGAUGGUGGAAAUAUGGAUGUUCUUGAGCAAUACUGUUUCCAUUUUGACAACUACCUUUAUUUCCAAAAGCACACUCUUUUUAAUCCAUAUGCCAAUUAAAUCAAUAGAAAUUGCGUGUCUGCUUGCUAUUAUGUAUUUCACAAAAAUCUUCAG